UACGUAGGUGGCGAACGUUGUCCGGAUUUACUGGGCGUAAAGCGCGCGCAGGCGGACCGUUAAGUCAGAGGUGAAAUCUCCCGGCUCAACUGGGAGCGGCCCUUUGAUACUGUCGGUCUUGAGAUGCCUAGAGGAGAGUGGAAUUCCCGGUGUAGUGGUGGAAUGCGUAGAUAUCCGGAGGAACACCAGUGGCGAAGGCGGCUUCCUGGACCGACACUGACGCUGAGGCGCGAAAGCCAGGGGAGCAAACGGG
This 253-nucleotide ribosomal RNA is filed under the name uncultured bacterium. Its description in RNAcentral is "partial 16S ribosomal RNA". It matches the Rfam family "Bacterial small subunit ribosomal RNA", at positions 524 to 776 of the family's 1533-position model. The record is from RNAcentral.